This 1847-nucleotide unclassified non-coding RNA is filed under the name uncultured fungus. RNAcentral describes it as "sequence contains 18S rRNA gene, ITS1, 5.8S rRNA gene, ITS2, 28S rRNA gene". The stretch from base 678 to 1847 matches the Rfam family "Eukaryotic large subunit ribosomal RNA", at positions 1 to 961 of the family's 3401-position model. Lineage: Eukaryota; Fungi. The record is from RNAcentral.
GGAAGGAUCAUUAACACGUUCCAAACAAAACUCUUAAAACAUGUGCGAACCGUUGCGGGAGAGAUUGCGCUCGUCGUAGCUUUCCUGCGUUUAUUGUAUCAACCAAAACCCUAUUAAUUUUACUAGUUUGACAGUUUAAAACCCUUUAAUACGGCAAUUUUCUUGCUGUAUUAAUAACCUUUAUAUAACUUUUAGCAACGGAUAUCUUGGUUCUCGCAACGAUGAAGAACGCAGCGAAAUGCGAUACGUAAUGCGAAUUGCAGAAUUCAGUGAAUCAUCGAAUCUUUGAACGCAAAUUGCGCCUCCGGGCAUCUGCUUGGAGGCAUGCCUCUUUGAGUAUCGGUUUUUAUUUCUGCUACUGCUCGUUGUUGAAAAACAAAUGUAGACAGUAUGUGAAUCUGAGAUGAGUUUUUACGAUUACCUUCGGGUUUCUGUGUAACUCUAAAUAAAUCUGAAAUCUCGUAAAUAUUGCGCAUGAUAAAGUGAGUCUUUGUAUAAUUCAAUGAUACAACGGCGGCGCAAUGUUCAGGUGAAGUACUCGUUACUCUCACUCUGGCAUUGAAAAUGCUCCAUCGUUUGUUCGGAGGAUGUACUUGCAGGACUUAUUGUAUUUGUGUUUAUUACGAGAUUGAUGCGGCAAUAACGAAAGUGAGGCUGUGUCAAUUUUAUUUUAUAUCUGAUCUCAAAUGAGGUAAGAGGACCCGCUGAACUUAAGCAUAUUAAUAAGCGGAGGAAAAGAAACUAACAAGGAUUCCCCUAGUAACGGCGAGUGAAGCGGGAAUAGCUCAACUUGAAAAUUGGAAGGCUUUAUGUCUUCCGAAUUGUAGUCUAUAGAACUGGUGACAGCGUGUGGCCCAGGCCUAAGUCCGUUGGAAAACGGCGUCACAGAGGGUGAGAACCCCGUCUAUGGCUUGGAGAUCCGCCGCGUACGUCGCUAGUUUCUACGAGUCGGGUUGUUUGGGAAUGCAGCCCAAAAUGGGUGGUAAAUUCCAUCUAAAGCUAAAUACUUGCGAGAAACCGAUAGCGAACAAGUACCGUGAGGGAAAGACGAAAAGAACUUUGAAAAGAGAGUUAAAAAGUGCUUGAAAUUGCUAAAAGGGAAGCAAUGGAAAUCAGUAGAUGUGUCAUGCUCAUUUUCCUGUUUGAUAGGUGGCUGGUUGAUGGUUCGGGAGUUUUACGACCUCGGAUUGUUGGCUCUGCUGCUUAUCGGGCAGUCCCUGUGGGUAUGGCCGUGUCAGAUCCGUUUCGGUGUGCAGGAUAUGCGCUCGAAGGAAGGUGGCAGUGAUCCACUUACGUGGUGAUCUGUGUUUACUAUGCCUUCGAGGCCGCGCUGCACUGCUGGAACGGCAGAUUCUCAUCUCUCGAUAGGUGGGCUCCUGGUUGCGUAAGAUGGUGUGUGCUGUGUGUGGAUUGGUAACGGGAAAACAAAGUUUUGCCGUAUCUGGUCCAUGUGCACCAUAUGCUGUCUGAGUUAUCAGCUCUGACGUAAAUGGUUUUCACUGACCCGUCUUGAAACACGGACCAAGGAGUCUGACAUAUAUGCGAGUAUUUGGGUGUUUAAAACCCUGAUGCGUAAUGAAAGUAAAGGCAGGCAGUAGUCUGCUGAGGUGGGACUCUGGCCACCUAGUGUGUUAAGCCAGAUGCACCAUCGACCGAUCGUUCACUUGUGGAGGAUUUGAGUGAGAGCAUAUCUGUUAGGACCCGAAAGAUGGUGAACUAUGCCUGGACAGGGCGAAGCCAGGGGAAACUCUGGUGGAGGCUCGUAGCGAUACUGACGUGCAAAUCGUUCGUCUGAUCUGGGUAUAGGGGCGAAAGACUAAUCGAACCAUCUAGUAGCUGGUUCCCUC